GAUGAACGCUGGCGGCGUGCCUAAUACAUGCAAGUCGAGCGAACAGACGAGGAGCUUGCUCCUCUGACGUUAGCGGCGGACGGGUGAGUAACACGUGGAUAACCUACCUAUAAGACUGGGAUAACUUCGGGAAACCGGAGCUAAUACCGGAUAAUAUAUUGAACCGCAUGGUUCAAUAGUGAAAGACGGUUUUGCUGUCACUUAUAGAUGGAUCCGCGCCGCAUCAGCUAGUUGGUAAGGUAACGGCUUACCAAGGCAACGAUGCGUAGCCGACCUGAGAGGGUGAUCGGCCACACUGGAACUGAGACACGGUCCAGACUCCUACGGGAGGCAGCAGUAGGGAAUCUUCCGCAAUGGGCGAAAGCCUGACGGAGCAACGCCGCGUGAGUGAUGAAGGUCUUCGGAUCGUAAAACUCUGCUAUUAGGGAAGAACAAAUGUGUAAGUAACUAUGCACGUCUUGACGGUACCUAAUCAGAAAGCCACGGCUAACUACGUG
This 497-nucleotide ribosomal RNA is filed under the name uncultured bacterium. RNAcentral describes it as "partial 16S ribosomal RNA". It matches the Rfam family "Bacterial small subunit ribosomal RNA", at positions 28 to 507 of the family's 1533-position model. The record is from RNAcentral.